AGAGUUUGAUCCUGGCUCAGGACGAACGCUGGCGGCACGCUUAACACAUGCAAGUCGAACGAGAGAAGAGGAGCUUGCUUUUCUGAUCUAGUGGCGGACGGGUGAGUAACACGUGAGCAAUCUGCCUUUCAGAGGGGGAUACCGAUUGGAAACGAUCGUUAAUACCGCAUAACAUAAUUGAACCGCAUGAUUUGAUUAUCAAAGAUUUAUCGCUGAAAGAUGAGCUCGCGUCUGAUUAGCUAGUUGGUAAGGUAACGGCUUACCAAGGCGACGAUCAGUAGCCGGACUGAGAGGUUGAUCGGCCACAUUGGGACUGAGACACGGCCCAGACUCCUACGGGAGGCAGCAGUGGGGAAUAUUGCACAAUGGAGGAAACUCUGAUGCAGCGAUGCCGCGUGAGGGAAGAAGGUUUUAGGAUUGUAAACCUCUGUCUUCAGGGACGAAAAAAGACGGUACCUGAGGAGGAAGCUCCGGCUAACUACGUGCCAGCAGCCGCGGUAAUACGUAGGGAGCGAGCGUUGUCCGGAAUUACUGGGUGUAAAGGGAGCGUAGGCGGGAUCGCAAGUCAGAUGUGAAAACUAUGGGCUUAACCCAUAAACUGCAUUUGAAACUGUGGUUCUUGAGUGAAGUAGAGGUAAGCGGAAUUCCUAGUGUAGCGGUGAAAUGCGUAGAUAUUAGGAGGAACAUCAGUGGCGAAGGCGGCUUACUGGGCUUUAACUGACGCUGAGGCUCGAAAGCGUGGGGAGCAAACAGGAUUAGAUACCCUGGUAGUCCACGCCGUAAACGAUGAUUACUAGGUGUGGGGGGACUGACCCCUUCCGUGCCGCAGCAAACGCAAUAAGUAAUCCACCUGGGGAGUACGACCGCAAGGUUGAAACUCAAAGGAAUUGACGGGGGCCCGCACAAGCAGUGGAGUAUGUGGAUUAAUUCGAAGCAACGCGAAGAACCUUACCAGGUCUUGACAUCGUAUGCAUAGCUCAGAGAUGAGUGAAAUCUCUUCGGAGACAUAUAGACAGGUGGUGCAUGGUUGUCGUCAGCUCGUGUCGUGAGAUGUUGGGUUAAGUCCCGCAACGAGCGCAACCCUUACUGUUAGUUGCUACGCAAGAGCACUCUAGCAGGACUGCCGUUGACAAAACGGAGGAAGGUGGGGAUGACGUCAAAUCAUCAUGCCCCUUAUGACCUGGGCCUCACACGUACUACAAUGGCUGUCAACAGAGGGAAGCAAAGCCGCGAGGUGGAGCGAACCCCUAAAAGCAGUCUUAGUUCGGAUUGUAGGCUGCAACCCGCCUACAUGAAGUCGGAAUUGCUAGUAAUCGCAGAUCAGCAUGCUGCGGUGAAUACGUUCCCGGGCCUUGUACG
This 1359-nucleotide ribosomal RNA is filed under the name metagenome. RNAcentral's name for it is "bacterial SSU rRNA". It matches the Rfam family "Bacterial small subunit ribosomal RNA". The record is from RNAcentral.